GGAAGCUGGUGAGUAGAGUGGAAGGGCAAAGGGGAACAUCUAUCUCUGUUGGUGGAUGUAGAGGCCCCGAAAAUCAGAGCACCUGGAGAUAGUUGUCUGCCAGCCUCCCACUGCCACCUUCCUCUGCCUGGUACCUCCUUGUCCAACACCAGAGCAGCACCUCCUUUCAGGAGGCCUUAGAAGACAGAGCCAAGUGGCCGGGCGCAGUGGCUCACGCCUCUAAUCCCAGCACUUUGGGAGGCCAAGGCGGGCGGAUCAUGAGGACCUGCCCAUCAACUUUCCAGAAGAAAAAGAAAACAGGAAGCCAAGCAAGACGGACACUGAAGCCGCAGCCACAACAGCUGCAGGAGAAUCUCCCAAAGGGCCAUGAAACAACAGGACAUACGUAUGAGCGGGUGUUACAGCAGCAAGGGUCUCAAGAGAGGAGUCCAGGCCUCAUGUCGGAAGACAGCAACUUACAUUAUGCUGACAUUCAAGUGUGCAGCCGUCCCCAUGCCCGGGAAGUGAAACACGUCCAUUUAGAAAACGCUACAGAGUAUGCGACCCUUCGCUUCCCCCGGGCCACACCUCGCUAUGACAGCAAGAACGGGACCCUGGUGUGAACGUUGAGGAGGAAGGCCCAGUCCAUUGUUAACCACUAAUCUUGUGGGGGAGAACCUACUGCUUUGGGGAAUUGGGUGGCAACCCAGGGAUGUUGGCCACGUUUUAAGCUUAAAGAACUCCAAGGCCCCUGGAAUUGUGGGCGUCCCAUUUUCUCCCCUGGCCUCUGACUUGCCGCUGUUAGGUUGGAGUUAUAGUUGGUUUAGCUAUGGGUGGAUAGCUAAACUUAGCUAUCCACAUGAGGUUAGGUGGAGUGUGCAGGGAGGUAGGUCUUCGACCC
RNAcentral lists this small RNA (880 nucleotides) under Pongo abelii (Sumatran orangutan). RNAcentral describes it as "processed transcript". The record is from RNAcentral. Lineage: Eukaryota; Metazoa; Chordata; Mammalia; Primates; Hominidae.